This 446-nucleotide ribosomal RNA is filed under the name uncultured bacterium. Its description in RNAcentral is "bacterial SSU rRNA". It matches the Rfam family "Bacterial small subunit ribosomal RNA", at positions 330 to 793 of the family's 1533-position model. The record is from RNAcentral.
CCCAGACUCCUACGGGAGGCAGCAGUGGGGAAUAUUGCACAAUAGGGGAAACCCUGAUGCAGCGACGCCGCGUGAGCGAUGAAGUAUUUCGGUAUGUAAAGCUCUAUCAGCAGGGAAGAAGAUGACGGUACCUGACUAAGAAGCCCCGGCUAACUACGUGCCAGCAGCCGCGGUAAUACGUAGGGGGCAAGCGUUAUCCGGAUUUACUGGGCGUAAAGGGAGCGUAGACGGCUGUGCAAGUCUGAAGUGAAAGCCCGUGGCUCAACCCCGGGACUGCUCUUGGAACUGCAUGGCUGGAGUACAGGAGGGGCAGGCGGAAUUCCUAGUGUAGCGGUGAAAUGCGUAGAUAUUAGGAGGAACACCGGUGGCGAAGGCGGCCUGCUGGACUGUGACUGACGUUGAGGCCCGAAGGCGUGGGGAGCAAACAGGAUUAGAUACCCCCGUAA